GUUGAACAGGUUAUGCUGAGCAAAUAUGAGAGAAGCGGAUGUGCUUUUUGUGGCAAUACAAUUAGCAGACUUUAUAAGUGUAGAAGCUGCUUACUAUAUUACAAUCUUCAAUGUAUAGCUUAUCAAAAGUAUCCACGUGAAUCUAAAUGGUUUUGCACGGCAUGUAAGACAGAUUACUUAUGAGGUUUUCAAUCUAAGUUGCAGACUACUAAAAAAAAAGUUCUGCUCAGGUAGUGUUCUUCUGUCCCUUCCAAGUUUAGUCAGUCCUGAAGAUAACUUGGCUACAGAAGCAAGUAUUUACCAUGUAAAUAACUCAAGAUCUUUCUAAAACAGAGUACCAAAUCACGCAAGAUGUAUCAGCAAGUGUGUGGAGUGUACAGAAACAAUAUAAUGAAUAAAAAUUA
Molecule: long non-coding RNA, 404 nt
Organism: Uloborus diversus
Lineage: Eukaryota; Metazoa; Arthropoda; Arachnida; Araneae; Uloboridae
Exons: 3
Source: RefSeq, a predicted model, not a curated record